UCAAAUUGCAUUGAUGUUUACAAUGCAUUGAUGUUUACAUUUAAAUACCAAAGUAACUUAACUAAGUAUUGAAAAUAGUUUUUGAACGUUUAUAAUUAUGCCGUUUUAAAUAUUUAAUCGGCUGUAAUCUUUCAGUCGAUUAUUGUAUUAACAAUAUGAACGGAUAUAAACACUCACGAACGGAUGACAGUAUACAUGGGUCAGGGCACCACCCUUCAUGCAUCUCAGCAGACUGACGACCUUAGUCAUGUGAUGUUCAUCUUUCAGCUCUUUCAGAGCGGCUUGAUAUGCACGGCCCUCAUGGCCGGCGCCAUCUGUGUCGGUCAUCUAGUGUUAAUGCGGAAGUACUGCCGAAAUACCACGACGCUGGUCGCAGUGGUGCUCUCUGGAUUUUUCCAUCUGAUCGCAAGCGUGCGCAUGUUGACAAUUGCUGAAAAUUACAUGAAAAGACGCGUACAACAGGGACCUCCGAGCGUCGGCUCGUGCUUGGAUUACUCGAUGACGGCGGCGUUUGCCAACGGGGUUGUGCUCGUGUUAAUCGUGCAUAAUGUUUUGUUCAGAACUUUAAAUGGUCGAUGUCUUCGUGUCUAGCAUACGCAGGCACACUUGGUUGCAUCAUCACAGGAAGUUUUUCCGUAAUCAAGAUUGUGCCGCAAAAUAGCCCACUUCCAGUUACACAACAUUCGCUUGAGACGCUUGGGACAUAUGGAAGUCAGCACUUUACCGUAUUCUUGUUCGUGUGUCAGAAAAACGUUUACGAGGAAAGAUGGGCUAUUCUGGUGGAAUAUUUAGUGAUAUACCUACCCGUCAUGUUCACCGUGCUGGUUGCUCUUUGCAGGAACAGGACAAAACAAACGGAUGUCACCAUCAUAGAGCUAAAGAUUAUUUCAAACAAAGAGUGCAACGUUUCAGUGUUUAACUGCAAUUGUGUUAAAUUGAACUCAGCCAUGGUUGCCGUUCUUUUAUACAUUACUAUUGUCUUACUCAUAGUACGGCCAGGAUACAUUCUGUAUGCGCACGCAACUUCGGGUUACUUCUUGGACAUAUUGCCAAGUUUGUUACAGACAGUAAUUUUCACUUUUAUUUGCUCUGAAUAUAUUGGAAAGGUUCUUAUUCGAUCACAAUAUUGCAAUAAUGAGGUGAAAUCAAACGGCUAUUGUAACUAUAAACAUAAGGGCAAGCCUCUUAUGCAGGUAUGAUAAGCUGUAAAUUUCUGUAGACAGGUUCUUUAGAGAUGUGUUGUUUAAAUGUAAAGACGCACUUGCUUUGAAUGGGAAAUCCAUUAUUAUGUUUCCACAAAACUGUGAUACUACGCUGAAAUAUGUUUGUAGCGCUUUUGUAACUGGGUAAAAAAAAGCACAUAAUGGAAUCAUAUUGACGGAAUUAAAGUCGAAAUAUUCUCAAAUACUUACACUUGGUGUCAUCUUCGUUCAUUUUAAAAAAUGUUAC
RNA transcript from Mya arenaria, 1449 nucleotides. RefSeq lists it as uncharacterized. The transcript is spliced from 3 exons. The record is from RefSeq and is a predicted model, not a curated record. Lineage: Eukaryota; Metazoa; Mollusca; Bivalvia; Myida; Myidae.